RNAcentral lists this unclassified non-coding RNA (240 nucleotides) under soil metagenome. Its description in RNAcentral is "partial contains 5.8S ribosomal RNA, internal transcribed spacer 2, and large subunit ribosomal RNA". The record is from RNAcentral.
AACGGUCUAUACCUGCGGUACCUGCGGAGGGAUCAUUACAGAGAACUUGCCCGUCUGGGUAGAUCUCCCACCCUUUGUUUACUAUACUUUUGUUGCUUUGGCAAGCCUGUCUUGUGACUACUGGCCUCCAGCUAGUAAGUGCUUGCCAGAGGACCCCAAACACUUUACAUUGUGUUGUCUGAGUAGUACAGAAAUUUUUAAAACUUUCAACAACGGAUCUCUAGAUCGGAAGAGCACACG